CGCCCUACGGGGGGCAGCAGUGGGGAAUAUUGGACAAUGGGCGAAAGCCUGAUCCAGCCAUGCCGCGUGUGUGAAGAAGGUCUUCGGAUUGUAAAGCACUUUAAGUUGGGAGGAAGGGCAGUAAGUUAAUACCUUGCUGUUUUGACGUUACCGACAGAAUAAGCACCGGCUAACUUCGUGCCAGCAGCCGCGGUAAUACGAAGGGUGCAAGCGUUAAUCGGAAUUCCUGGGCGUAAAGCGCGCGUAGGUGGUUCGUUAAGUUGGAUGUGAAAGCCCCGGGCUCAACCUGGGAACUGCAUCCAAAACUGGCGAGCUAGAGUAUGGCAGAGGGUGGUGGAAUUUCCUGUGUAGCGGUGAAAUGCGUAGAUAUAGGAAGGAACACCAGUGGCGAAGGCGACCACCUGGGCUAAUACUGACACUGAGGUGCGAAAGCGUGGGGAGCAAACAGGAUUAGAUACCCGGGUAGUCCCC
Molecule: ribosomal RNA, 471 nt
Filed under: uncultured Pseudomonadaceae bacterium
Lineage: Bacteria; Pseudomonadati; Pseudomonadota; Gammaproteobacteria; Pseudomonadales; Pseudomonadaceae
Description: bacterial SSU rRNA
Rfam family: Bacterial small subunit ribosomal RNA
Source: RNAcentral